UCAAGCAAAAAAGAGCGCAGGGUGGAUGCCUUGGCACUAAGAGCCGAAGAAAGACGUGAUAAGCUGCGAAAAGCUGCGGGGAGGAGCAAAUAUCCAUUGAGCCGCAGAUAUCUGAAUGGGGAAACCCGGCUGGACGAACUCCAGUCAUCCAUACGCCAAUCCAUAACGUAUGGAAGGGAACCCGGUGAACUGAAACAUCUAAGUAGCCGGAGGAAAAGAAAGAAACAUCGAUUCUGGGAGUAGCGGCGAGCGAAACCGGAGGAGCCUAAACCAGCGUGCGUGCAUGCUGGGGUUAAGGACUGCAACAAGUGACCGGAAGGUUAACAGAAUGGUUUUGGGAAAGCCAGCCAUAGAGGGUGAAAGCCCCGUAUGUGAAAACCGGAAGGAGCGGCAGGAUCCAGAGUACUACGAGACACGUGGAACCUUGUAGGAAAUCGGGGGGACCACCCCCCAAGGCUAAAUACUCCUUAGUGACCGAUAGCGCAUAGUACUGUGAAGGAAAGGUGAAAAGGACCCCGGGAGGGGAGUGAAAGAGAACCUGAAACCCUGUGUUUACAAGCUGUGGAAGUAUCUUAUGGAUACAACCGCGUACUUUUUGUAGAACGGUCCGGCGAGUUACGUCGGCUGGCGAGGUUAAGCACUAUAGGUGUGGAGCCGAAGGGAAACCAAGUCUUAAUAGGGCGUCCAGUCAGCCGGAGUAGACCCGAAACCGGGUGAUCUAUCCAUGUCCAGGAUGAAGUUGCCGUAAAAGGCAAUGGAGGUCCGAACGCACAUCUGUUGAAAAAGGUGGCGAUGAGGUGUGGAUAGGGGAGAAAUUCCAAUCGAACCCGGAGAUAGCUGGUUCUCCUCGAAAUAGCUUUAGGGCUAGCCUCGUAUUAGUCUAGUGGAGGUAGAGCACUGAAUUUCCUAGGGGGCGUCAAAGCUUACCGAAGAAUAUCAAACUCCGAAUGCCAUAUAGAUGAUGUACGGGAGUCAGACUGCACGAGAUAAGUUGGGCAGUCAAAAGGGAAAGAGCCCAGACCGCCAGCUAAGGUCCCAAAGUGUGUGUUAAGUGGAAAAGGAUGUGGGAUUUCGAAGACAACUAGGAUGUUGGCUCAGAAGCAGCCAUACAUUAAAAGAGUGCGUAAUAGCUCACUAGUCGAGAGGUCCUGCGCCGAAAAUGUCCGGGGCUGAAACACAACACCGAAGCUGCGGAACCCGCAAGGGUUGGUAGAGGAGCAUUCUUAAAGGAACGAAGCAGUACCGUAAGGAGCUGUGGACUUUUAAGAAGAGAGAAUGCCGGAAUGAGUAGCGAGAGUAAGGUGAGAAUCCUUACGGCCGAAUAUCCAAGGUUUCCAGGGUAAAGCUGAUCUGCCCUGGGGAAGUCGGGACCUAAGGCGAGGCCGAGAGGCGUAGCCGAUGGACAACAGGUUGAGAUUCCUGUACUACAGUAUGACAGAACUGUGGGGACGCAGAAGGAGAGCACUACCUGGAAUGGAAUCCAGGGGCAAGCACAGGAGGGGUACGGCUGGAAAAACCGCCGUGCAACCCAAAGGUGUGACGCAUACCGAACUAAAGUAGGGAAAUGUGUGAGCCGGCUGCCGAGAAAAGCCGCUAUUGUUUGUACUGUACCCGUACCGUAAACCGACACAGGUGGAUGAGGAGAGAAUCCUAAGGCCGACGGAAGAAGCAUUGCUAAGGAACUCGGCAAAAUGACCCUGUAACUUCGGGAGAAAGGGUGCCUCGAAAGAGGCCGCAGAGAAUAGGCCCAAGCAACUGUUUAGCAAAAACACAGGUCUAUGCAAAACCGCAAGGUGAAGUAUAUGGGCUGACGCCUGCCCGGUGCUGGAAGGUUAAGGGGAGAUGUCAGGAGACGAAGCAUCGAACUUAAGCCCCAGUAAACGGCGGCCGUAACUAUAACGGUCCUAAGGUAGCGAAAUUCCUUGUCGGGUAAGUUCCGACCC
RNAcentral lists this ribosomal RNA (1943 nucleotides) under human gut metagenome. RNAcentral's name for it is "bacterial LSU rRNA". It matches the Rfam family "Bacterial large subunit ribosomal RNA", at positions 3 to 1989 of the family's 2925-position model. The record is from RNAcentral.